RNAcentral lists this ribosomal RNA (252 nucleotides) under uncultured bacterium. Its description in RNAcentral is "partial 16S ribosomal RNA". It matches the Rfam family "Bacterial small subunit ribosomal RNA", at positions 524 to 776 of the family's 1533-position model. The record is from RNAcentral.
UACGUAGGUCCCGAGCGUUGUCCGGAUUUAUUGAGCGUAAAGCGAGCGCAGGUGGUUUAUUAAGUCUGGUGUAAAAGGCAGUGGCUCAACCAUUGUAUGCAUUGGAAACUGGUAGACUUGAGUGCAGGAGAGGAGAGUGGAAUUCCAUGUGUAGCGGUGAAAUGCGUAGAUAUAUGGAGGAACACCAGUGGCGAAGGCGGCUUACUGGACAGUAACUGACGUUGAGGCUCGAAAGCGUGGGGAGCAAACAGG